ACAAACACACACAGGCCUGAGCUCCGGAUAUUUCUCCUGUUCUGGAGACAGUGAGAAGUGAAAGAGAAAUGGCUGCCCCUGCACCACUUACCGCGAAGGAGGCUCAAGGCUGGGGGUCCCCUCUGCCUUCCGGUGACCGCCCGUGUCACAUCCUGACCCGCUCAGCAGGAGAACACAGCAGGUCCCUCCGACCGCAGUCGGCCUCUCCAGCCUGCCAUGCCUCUGGCCAUGAGGCGACCCGCUGGAGUGAUGGAUUCCGGUCACUACCACCCACAGGGCGAGGGGGUGCAUUGGUCUGCUUGGGCCGCUGUAACAAAAUGCCACAGCCUGGGUGAGUGACUGACAUUGCUUCCCCACCGUUCUGGAGGCUGGAGGCCCGAGAUCGAGGUCCCUGACACUAUUUCAGUGAUGCCGGAGCCCAGGAGGAGUCGACCAAGCCCCAGCGUGGCCAUAAGCACCUUCGCAGGACCACGGAGUCGCUGCAGGUGUUCAGCCCUGUUGAGAGUGGGAGUUGGUGUCGAUGGUCACAGCUCAGUAACUCAUCGUCACCAGCGAGUACCACAGAGCAGACACAACUGCGCUUCUCUGUAGAGCCUCCAGUCGAUACUGAGAGCCACUGGGGCGUCUGACACCCAAGGGUGCAGACAUUCACUCCAAGUCCAGAGACCGCGCCCUUUCUAAGGCCCUGACUCACAGUCGCCCCAUGCUCAUUGUGCCGGAUGUUUCCACAGCCACAAAGACGGUGCGUGAAGGUGAGGUGCAGCCUAGUGCAUAUGACUGACAGAAACAUGAAGCCACAGUGGAUGCCUGGAUGAGACACAGAUCACCUUCCAAAUCUGAGUGUGGCCUUGGGACCAACCAGGUAGCCAGGGAGAAGGCAGAGACCAGAGGGAACCCAGGUGCCCUCAAUCCCAGCCUCCUCUAUCCCAGCCUCCCAAUCCCAGCCUCCCCAAUCCCAGCCUCCUAAUCCCAGCCUCCUCCAUCCCAGGACCCCCACUCCCAGCCUCCUGAUCCCAGCUUCUCUGAUCCCAGCCUCCCCUAAAACCCAGACUCUAUGAAUCCCAGCCUCUGAGGUGGGAACUGUUAGUAUCCCCACUCCAUGGACAAGAAAGCUGGGGCCUGGUGAGGCUAACAGACUAUCCUGAUGGUGUGAGGGAGGGAUCGGCCUCUGAGGGCUGCUUCCACCCAUCUCACCAGUGGCUGCAGGCUCCAGGCGCCACUUUCCUUGAGUCUAUGUUCUUUCCAAGCAUCCUGCAGCUCCAGAAGCUCUGGAGCCGCCAGCACUGAGAGAAGUGAUGGCGCUGCAUGCAGGGAAACUUUGUUGACAGCGGUGUCUGGAUGGACCAGCAGAGGGCACUCUCACAGGGAAAAUCGUGCGCCCGGCCUCGUCCACCGCCAGAAGACGCUGCUACACAAUGGAGUCUCGCUCUGUCGACCAGGCUGGAGUGCAAUGGUGCGAUCUCGGCUCACUGCAAUCUCCGCCUCCCGGUGAGAGGUGAAGCCAGCUGGACUUCCUGGGUCCAGUGGGGACUUGGAGAACUUUUCUGUCUAGCUAAAGGUUUGUAAAUGCACCAAUCAGUGCUGUGUCUAGCUAAAGUUUGUAAACGUACCAAUCAGCACUCUGUAAAAUGGACCAAUCAGCACUCUGUAAAAUGGACCAAUCAGCAGGAUGUGGGCGGGGUCAAAUAAAGGAAUAAAAAGCUGGUAGCCGAGCCGGCAGUGGCAAAC
RNAcentral lists this non-coding RNA (1728 nucleotides) under Pan troglodytes (chimpanzee). The record is from RNAcentral. Lineage: Eukaryota; Metazoa; Chordata; Mammalia; Primates; Hominidae.